UGGUUCUGGCAUCGAUGAAGAACGCAGCGAAAUGCGAUAAGUAAUGUGAAUUGCAGAAUUCAGUGAAUCAUCGAAUCUUUGAACGCACAUUGCGCCCGCCAGUAUUCUGGCGGGCAUGCCUGUUCGAGCGUCAUUUCAACCACUCAGGCCCUGGUGCCUGGCGUCGGGGUGUUCCGCCUCACGGCGGAAGCCCCUAGAGACAGUGGCGGACCCGCCGCGGCUCCGAGCGCAGUAGUAAAAUAUCUCGCUAUGGAGGUCCGCGGGGGGGCUUACCGGCCGUAAAAACUUUCUUCGGAAAAUCUCAAGGUUGACCUCGGAUCAGGUAGGAAUACCCGCUGA
This 339-nucleotide unclassified non-coding RNA is filed under the name uncultured fungus. RNAcentral describes it as "partial contains 5.8S ribosomal RNA and internal transcribed spacer 2". The stretch from base 1 to 133 matches the Rfam family "5.8S ribosomal RNA", at positions 22 to 154 of the family's 154-position model. Lineage: Eukaryota; Fungi. The record is from RNAcentral.